RNAcentral lists this unclassified non-coding RNA (337 nucleotides) under soil metagenome. RNAcentral's name for it is "partial contains 5.8S ribosomal RNA, internal transcribed spacer 2, and large subunit ribosomal RNA". The stretch from base 1 to 120 matches the Rfam family "5.8S ribosomal RNA", at positions 35 to 154 of the family's 154-position model. The record is from RNAcentral.
GAUGAAGAACGUAGCGAAAUGCGAUAAGUAGUGUGAAUUGCAGAAUUCAGUGAAUCAUCGAAUCUUUGAACGCACAUUGCGCCCGCCAGUAUUCUGGCGGGCAUGCCUGUUCGAGCGUCAUUUCAACCAUCAAGCCCCCGGGCUUGUGUUGGGGACCUGCGGCUGCCGCAGGCCCUGAAAAGCAGUGGCGGGCUCGCUGUCACACCGAGCGUAGUAGAUUUUAUCUCGCUCUGGGCGUGCUGCGGGUUCCGGCCGUUAAACCACCCUUUUAACCCAAGGUUGACCUCGGAUCAGGUAGGAAGACCCGCUGAACUUAAGCAUAUCAAUAAGCGGAGGA